This 257-nucleotide long non-coding RNA is filed under the name Equus asinus (donkey). RNAcentral describes it as "lncRNA (ENSEASG00005026918.1)". The record is from RNAcentral. Lineage: Eukaryota; Metazoa; Chordata; Mammalia; Perissodactyla; Equidae.
CCAGCCCCGCCUCCAGUCUGCACCCCCUGGUUCCCACCGGGUAGCACCUCCAUCCCACCCACCGUCGCUGAACACCUACCCUGUGUCCCAGGUGCCAGGGGAUGCUGUGAGAUUCAGGAGAAACCAAUUUUCUCAUCCUCCAGACCUGGCCAAGGUGCUUCGGUUCCGGCGACUACAGAGCUGGCGUGAGACAGACGGUCUCCCAGGGGAAGGUGUGGGUCACAGGCUGGGCUCUCAGGUCUGGAAAAGUCCUCAGG